RNAcentral lists this ribosomal RNA (470 nucleotides) under Pseudoalteromonas mariniglutinosa. RNAcentral's name for it is "bacterial SSU rRNA". It matches the Rfam family "Bacterial small subunit ribosomal RNA", at positions 55 to 516 of the family's 1533-position model. Lineage: Bacteria; Pseudomonadati; Pseudomonadota; Gammaproteobacteria; Alteromonadales; Pseudoalteromonadaceae. The record is from RNAcentral.
AUGCAGUCGAGCGGAACGAAGAGGUGCUUGCACCUCUGGCGUCGAGCGGCGGACGGGUGAGUAAUGCUUGGGAAUAUGCCUUAUGGUGGGGGACAACAGUUGGAAACGACUGCUAAUACCGCAUGAUGUCUACGGACCAAAGUGGGGGACCUUCGGGCCUCACGCCAUAAGAUUAGCCCAAGUGGGAUUAGCUAGUUGGUGAGGUAAUGGCUCACCAAGGCGACGAUCCCUAGCUGGUUUGAGAGGAUGAUCAGCCACACUGGGACUGAGACACGGCCCAGACUCCUACGGGAGGCAGCAGUGGGGAAUAUUGCACAAUGGGCGCAAGCCUGAUGCAGCCAUGCCGCGUGUGUGAAGAAGGCCUUCGGGUUGUAAAGCACUUUCAGUAAGGAGGAAAGGUUAAGUGUUAAUAGCACUUAGCUGUGACGUUACUUACAGAAGAAGCACCGGCUAACUCCGUGCCAGCUGCC